RNAcentral lists this transfer RNA (77 nucleotides) under Armatimonadota bacterium. Its description in RNAcentral is "Armatimonadetes bacterium tRNA-Thr". It matches the Rfam family "tRNA". From Rfam's summary of the family: Transfer RNA (tRNA) molecules are approximately 80 nucleotides in length. Their secondary structure includes four short double-helical elements and three loops (D, anti-codon, and T loops). Further hydrogen bonds mediate the characteristic L-shaped molecular structure. tRNAs have two regions of fundamental functional importance: the anti-codon, which is responsible for specific mRNA codon recognition, and the 3' end, to which the tRNAs corresponding amino acid is attached (by aminoacyl-tRNA synthetases). tRNAs cope with the degeneracy of the genetic code in two manners: having more than one tRNA (with a specific anti-codon) for a particular amino acid; and 'wobble' base-pairing, i.e. permitting non-standard base-pairing at the 3rd anti-codon position. The record is from RNAcentral. Lineage: Bacteria; Bacillati; Armatimonadota.
GCUGGCGUAGCUCAGUUGGCCAGAGCAGCCGCCUUGUAAGCGGCAGGUCAUGGGUUCGAGUCCCAUCGCCAGCUCGA